Molecule: long non-coding RNA, 427 nt
Filed under: Helianthus annuus (common sunflower)
Lineage: Eukaryota; Viridiplantae; Streptophyta; Magnoliopsida; Asterales; Asteraceae
Description: sRNA HanXRQr2_Chr04g0140711
Source: RNAcentral
UCUUCGAUCCCCUAUAAGUACCCGACUCCUUCACUGCCGACUUCACACCCACCGUAAUCACCUCUCGUUCACACCUCUUCACUGCCUUCUUCUUCUUUCGCCGGAGCUAGCCGGAGAAGACAACCGGAAUAACGCCAUCCGUUUCGAAGCACCAUAAACCCACCGAACGGCCACCGUUCUCUACUUUGCUUUCCUGUUUUAAACCGUCGCCGGGAACACCUCCUCGCCGGAACUCCGCCGCCGGAGCACCUCCGCGUCACCACCAUUCGCCGCCGUCGAACCGCCGGUAACAGUUUCCGUUUCCGUUUAUAGAUACUUCGAUCGAUACAGUUUGUUUUAUUUUUUUUUUUCAUGUACUGGUAAAUCUCUUGUGCAACGACACUUGGAACAAUCCUCAUACUCUCUUUCCAAGAAAUACGCAACGCAC